Molecule: ribosomal RNA, 515 nt
Filed under: uncultured bacterium
Lineage: Bacteria
Description: partial 16S ribosomal RNA
Rfam family: Bacterial small subunit ribosomal RNA
Source: RNAcentral
GAUGAACGCUGGCGGCGUGCCUAAUACAUGCAAGUCGAGCGAAUGGAUUAAGAGCUUGCUCUUAUGAAGUUAGCGGCGGACGGGUGAGUAACACGUGGGUAACCUGCCCAUAAGACUGGGAUAACUCCGGGAAACCGGGGCUAAUACCGGAUAACAUUUUGAACCGCAUGGUUCGAAAUCGAAAGGCGGCUUCGGCUGUCACUUAUGGAUGGACCCGCGUCGCAUUAGCUAGUUGGUGAGGUAACGGCUCACCAAGGCAACGAUGCGUAGCCGACCUGAGAGGGUGAUAGGCCACACUGGGACUGAGACACGGCCCAGACUCCUACGGGAGGCGGCAGUAGGGAAUCUUCCGCAAUGGACGAAAGUCUGACGGAGCAACGCCGCGUGAGUGAGGAAGGCUUUCGGGUCGUAAAACUCUGUUGUUAGGGAAGAACAAGUGCUAGUUGAAUAAGCUGGCACCUUGACGGUACCUAACCAGAAAGCCACGGCUAACUACGUGCCAGCCGCCGCAGUAA